ACUCUCUCGCCGUCGCUAGCUAAACUCCAACACCUCGAUGGGAUUUACUUCACUGAUCUCAAGAACAUCACUGGUUCUUUUCCUCAAUUCCUUUUCCAAUUACCAAAUCUUAAAUACGUUUACAUUGAGAAUAACCGCCUCUCCGGUCCUCUUCCGGUUAACAUCGGUUCUCUAAGCCAGCUUGAAGCGUUCAGUCUCCAGGGAAACCGGUUUACCGGUCCAAUCCCAAGCUCGAUAUCUAAUUUGACUCGGUUAACACAACUCAAACUCGGUAGUAAUCUCCUAACCGGCACUAUUCCCUUAGGAAUUGCUAAUCUCAAGCUCAUGUCGUAUCUCAACCUUGGAGGUAACCGUCUCUCUGGCACUAUCCCGGACAUUUUCAAAUCCAUGCCGGAACUUCGAUCAUUAACUCUCUCCCACAACGGAUUCUCCGGGAAUCUUCCUCCGUCCAUUGCAUCACUCGCACCGAUUCUCAGGUUCCUCGAGUUAGGCCAUAACAAUCUCUCCGGGACAAUACCGAACUUCUUAUCAAACUUCAAGGCGCUUGACACAUUGGAUCUCUCUAAGAAUCGGUUCUCAGGAGUCUUGCCAAAGAGUUUCGCAAAUCUGACCAAAAUCUUCAAUCUCAAUCUCGCUCACAAUCUUCUAACCGAUCCAUUCCCUGUCUUGAACGUUAAAGGGAUAGAAUCUUUGGAUCUCUCGUACAACCAAUUUCACUUGAACACAAUUCCUAAAUGGGUGACUUCGUCGCCGAUCAUCUACUCGUUGAAGCUAGCAAAAUGCGGGAUCAAGAUGAGUUUAGACGAUUGGAAGCCAGCACAAACAUACUACUACGAUUUCAUCGAUUUGUCGGAAAACGAGAUCUCAGGGAGUCCAGCAAGGUUCUUGAACCAAACAGAGUUUCUAGUGGAGUUCAAGGCGUCGGGGAACAAACUCCGAUUCGAUAUGGGGAAGCUAACGUUCGCAAAGACGCUGAAGACCUUAGAUCUAUCUAGAAACUUGGUAUUCGGGAAGGUGCCAGCGACAGUGGCCGGGCUAAAGACAUUGAACGUGAGUCAAAACCAUCUUUGUGGAAAGCUUCCGGUGACAAAGUUCCCGGGCAGCGCCUUUGCUGGUAACGACUGUCUUUGCGGCUCUCCACUUCCUCCUUGUAAAGCUUAAGCGGCAAGAAAACUACAAUUAUAAGUUAGCUCCAAAUAAAAUUUGUAUUAAAUAACAAAUAAAGUAGUUUUAUGAUAUGAAGAGGCAUAUGUAUUAGACUAUUAGUGAAGGUACUCAAAGUAGUAUUUAAGUUUUCAACACUUUUGCAUUGUUUUAUUUAGCGACUUCUGUACUUUUCAACUUUUGCAUUGUUUUAUUUAGCGACUUCUGUUGGCACAAAAAUGAGGAACUGAAAUGAAUUGUAGAAUCAUUAAAAAAAAAAUUGCUAUUAAUUAAAUAAUGGGCUCUAAAAUACCAUGGUUUUUGUUUUUAAGCAUGUAACUUCAUCACUACAAAAUUUAUUUGAUCACAUAUACAAGCACACAUAAAGCUUACAAAACAAUACAAACCAAGUGAUCGAUUUACAUCAUGAAACCUCCCUCUUUCUCUUUACACACACAUAAGGUCAUUCCCAGGACAUAUAUCAUCUGCAUUGCGGCCUGAGACCAUCUCUGAAGUAGCUUUUCUCUUGGUAUAUUUUGUCUACGACACUAGCAUUCGACUAAUCUAUCGAUCCACAUUCAAUUAACGAAACAAGGACAUACUAAACUAACCUAGAAAAAUUAUUCAAAAACUAUAAAACAAAGAGAUUCGAAGAGAGGCAGCAUCUUAAACUUCACCACCAUAUAUAAAACGAAAACAGAAACUAAUAUAUUGGUUCUUCUAAAACAAUAUAAAUAGAUAAAGCUAAUAAUGUAAGAUUACGCUAAGAGAAUAAAGGCAUAUAUCUAUCAACCCAUCUUGAGGCCAACUUCGUUCACAAUCUGGAUCAUUGUACUUAGAUAUCUUUGACUUUUAAUUUGUGGUCAAUAACGUACAAAUUGUUAGACAAAAAUAACAUGUUAAUAGAUGUAUAAAAAAAAGUUUUACAAAAAUACCGGACAUUUUGUUAAACAAAAAUGAAACUAAGUUUCAUAAUGCACUAAAAUAUUAUUUAAACAUGAUAGAAAACAAACAAAAAUACAUGAUAGAAAAAAUAAGUAUUUGACUUAUGACCUUCCAAUACUAUUUAAAAACAAAAUUCUAAAACAAAAAAAAGAUACAUUACACCUUUUUAUAUAAUAAUCUCCAAAUUAAAUGAACCUUGUCUGGGAUCAUGAAGAUGAACCUUGUCUCUAGGAUCAUGAAGAUAUAUCUUGAUGAGUGCAAUAUGAUCGUGAAAUGAACCUUAUGUAUGUCUAAGAGCAAGAUAACGCGGCAUGAGAUACCUAAAGCAUAUACCACUUAGAGCAGGAUUAUAGGAGGUAUCUUAGACAUAUCUUAGGGGAAAAAAUUAUUAAAUUUAAUGAAUAGUUCAAUCAAAUGCUAAGAUGUAUAUCUUAUUUAAGAUGUUGUUGAUGAGUUUUAGAUAUGAGCACGUGUCUUGCUCUGAUUAAUUUGAAGAAACAACAAAGCCAAAAAAAAAAACCUUUCGUUUUUUUAUUUCCCUCUCGACCUUUCUCUCUCUCUCUUUUCCUCGAAACCAAAACGGCGAAAUCCUGCUCUGAGGCUGUUGAUCCGACGAAUUGAGAGGAGAAAUGAGAUGGAAUUGCGUGUUUCAUAUAAAUUAUAUUUCAUGUAUGUUUUAAUUUUUUUUAAUUUGCAACAAUUAUUAAAUUUUCUAUAAUUAUAAAUUUUAUUUUUGUAUUAAUUUUUUUUUUCUAAGAACCACAUGUUAAGAACCUACCAUUAAUCACACAAAAAUCUUAACCCAAAAAUACUACUCCCUCCGUAUUUGAAUAAAUGUCGUUCUAGCCUUUUUUCUGUGUUUUUAAUUAGUUGUCAUUUUAACAACUUUUGCAUAAAAUUUCCUAAAUUACCCCCAAUUAAUUGAUCAUAAUUAAUCAGUCUAAAUUACCAAAAUUACAGAUACCAAAAAUAUAAUUGUAAAUAAUCGUUUCUCAUAAGGUUAGUUUUGUAAUUCUGUGCCUUUUCUUAAUUCACCUAAAAACAGUUGAAACGACAUUUUUUCAAAUACAGAGGGAGUAUAUCUUAACUAUCACUUUUACAAAUAUAUUACUUAAAUAUUCUUAAGAUUUAUUUCUAAGAUACUACCAAUAAUCAUGCUCUUAUUGCCCACAUGCAAAUGGAUCGGUCAAAAUCGUUGACUUUGACUUUACAGCUCUCUCAACUCUCAAGUCGUCUCUCUCCCUUUACUAAUAGCUGCCAAUAGCUUCUCUCAAUCUCACCGCACAAUAACACCAUGACUUCUUGCUCCUUCACUCUCUUCAUCUUUGCGGUCAUUAUCUUUCUUCAGUCUUUAAGUUCAACGGGAGCUACCACGUGUCAUCCUGAUGAUGAGGCGGGUCUUUUAGCUUUCAAAUCGGGUAUAACUCAAGAUCCUUCGGGAAUGCUCAGCUCUUGGACGAAAAAUACUUCUUGCUGCUCGUGGAAAGGUAUCACUUGCCUCAACAGCGACCGUGUCACCAACCUCGACCUAGUGGGAUUUUUAAAAAAACCCGAACGCUCCCUUUCCGGUACUCUCUCACCGUCGCUGGCCAAACUUCAGCACCUCAACGUGGUUAGCUUAGGAGAUCAUGGGAACAUCACUGGAUCUUUUCCAAAGUUCCUUCUCAAAUUACCAAAGCUAAGGUACGUUGACAUCCAGAAUAACCGUCUCUCCGGUCCACUUCCGACCAACAUCGGCGUGCUAAACACGUUAGAACAAUUCUUUCUUCAGGGAAAUAAGUUCACCGGUCCGAUCCCGAAUUCGAUAUCAAAUCUAACUCGGUUAUCUUAUCUCAUUUUCGGAGGUAAUCUCUUAACCGGAACUAUACCCUUAGGACUUGCUAAUCUCAAGCUCAUGCAGCAUCUGGCACUCGGCGACAACCGCCUCUCAGGCACCGUCCCAGAAAUUUUCGAAUCAAUGACGUUGCUCAAAUUUCUAGAUCUCUCCCGCAAUGGAUUCUCUGGAAAACUUCCUCUGUCCAUUGCGUCACUCGCACCGACACUCCUAGCCCUCAAGCUGAGCCAGAACAAUCUCUCGGGGGCGAUCCCGGACUAUAUAUCAAGAUUCAACAGGCUCGAAAAGUUGGAUCUCUCCAAGAACCGGUUCUCCGGGGUUGUACCGAAGGGUUUCGUCAAUCUGACCAAUAUUAACAAUCUUGAUCUCUCCCACAAUCUUCUAACUAAUCAAUUCCCUGAAUUGAACGUUAACACCAUCGAAUAUCUUGAUCUCUCGUACAACCAAUUUCAGCUGGAAACGAUUCCACAAUGGGUGACAUCGUUGCCGAGUCUCUUCUUGUUGAAGCUAGCAAAAUGCGGGAUCAAGAUGAGCUUAGAUGAUUGGAAGCCAGCGGAACCCUUGUACUACCAUUACAUCGAUCUAUCGAAAAACGAGAUCUCAGGGAGUCUAGAAAGGUUCUUGAACCAGACAUGGUAUCUGCUGGAGUUUCGGGCGGCGGGGAACAAACUCCAAUUCGAUAUGGGGAACUUGAAGUUUGCAAGGACGCUAAAAACCCUGGAUCUUUCAAGGAACUUGGUAUUCGGGAUGGUGCCGGCGAUGGUAGCUGGUCUGCAGAGACUAAACUUGAGUCAAAACCAUCUUUGCGGAAAGCUUCCAGCUACAAAGUUCCCGGCCAGUGCGUUUGCCGAUAACCACUGUCUUUGCGGCUCUCCACUUUCUCCUUGUAAACUUUAGCGCCAAGAAAACUAUAAUUGGUAUUUGAAUUUAUCGCGACAGUUAACUCCAAAUAAGAUUAUAAAGUAAUUUUAAGAGACUAAGCUCCAUUGCAACGAAAUAUUAUGAAAUAUAAGUUUUUAACACUUCAAUAUUAUUUUAUUUUAUUUAGCAACUUUAUAAAUAAACUCGAAUUGUUGGUUAAAAAUGACAAAUUGAAUUAAACUAGUAGAAUCAUUAAGAAAUCGUAGAAGAGCAGGUUUUUUUUGUCACUAAUGUAAUGUAACCGGUAGAAUAAUUGAAAUGAAUUUUUAUUUAGCGUGUGUUGGCUUGAGGAUAUGUACUGCAAAACAGAUUCAAUCUUUAUAGAUUAUUCGAAUGAUUUGAUUGUUCUUCAAGACUUUGAGAAUCACUAUUUUUUCUCUUACUACACUUUCACCGGAUUCACAUCCUCACCAAUCUCCAAUCAAAGCUUGGUCAAUGCUUGCUAAGAGAAAUUUUUAGAGAAAAUAAAUCAUAGGAAACAAAUCGACAAUAGCAUUAUAGAGAUUUCUGUGAUUCUCACUUAUGAAAAUUAAUAAUGUCUUAAAUUUCCCAACUUCCAUAAUACCAAUAAGAAAACCUUUUCAAGACUCUUGUAACAACCUCAGCACAAAUCUUUUUACUUGUGUUCUACGCAACAACCAUUGACUUUUAGAGAUGUCUUAAAUCGUUCAACUUCAACAAGAAUGAAAAUCAUCGCGUUCUUUCGGUAUAAUAUACACAAAUAUUACAGAAAUAGAAAGAGUGUUCAAGCCAGUCGUAGGAAUAAUAAAUUCGACCACAAUUAUAAUUCCACUAAUUACGGAUGCUCCACAUGCAAAUGGAUCAGUCACAAUCAUCAACUUUCUUUUAUUAAACUAAUAAAUUAAAAAGUGUUACUAGAAACUUUGACUUUGAAGCUCUCAAGUCGUCUCUCUCCCUCUGUUAAUAGCUACCAAAUACUUCUCUUACUCCCACCACCCACCACACAACACCACCAUGAACUCUUGCUCAUUCACUUUAUUCAUCUUAGGUGCUAUUAUCUUUCUCCGGUGUUUAUGUUUCACCGGAGCUGCCACGUGCCAUCCUGAUGACGAGGCGGGUCUUUUAGGUUUCAAAUCGAGUAUAACCAAAGAUCCUUCAGACAUUCUCAGCUCCUGGAAGAAAGGUACUAACUGCUGCUUCUGGAGAGGUAUCAUUUGCUUCCCCCGAGACCGUGUCACACAACUAAAUGUAAACGGAGAUGUAUAUCUUGGCCUAACCUUUCUCUCCGGCACUAUCUCGCCGAUGCUGGCCAAACUUCAACACCUCGAGGGAAUUUACCUCACCUCUCUUCGAAAGAUCGCUGGACCUUUUCCUCAAUUCCUUUUCCGAUUACCAAAGCUAAAGUACGUUAGCAUCCAAGGUAACCUUCUCUCCGGUCCCCUUCCAGCCAAUAUUGGCGAGCUAAGUCAAUUGAAAACUUUAGUUAUUGAAGGAAACCUGUUCACCGGUCAGAUUCCAAGUUCGAUAUCCAAUUUGACUCGGUUAUCUUUGCUUAGUCUUGGCAACAACCGCCUCUCUGGCGCAAUCCCAAAUAUAUUUAAAUCCAUGAAAGAGCUCCAUUAUAUUCUCUUGAUCUCUCCCGCAACAGAUUCUUCGGGAAACUUCCUCCGUCCAUUGCAUCGCUGGCACCGACUCUCACCUACCUCGAUCUGAGCCAGAACAAUCUCUCGGGAACGAUCCCAGAAUAUUUAUCAAGAUUCAAGGCGCUCUCCACAUUGGUUCUCUCCAAGAAUCAGUACUCGGGGGUCGUGCCGAUGAGUUUCGCCAAUUAGACCAAACUUAUUCAUCUUGAUCUCUCCCAAAAUCUUCUAGCCGGUCCAUUACCUGUCUUGAAGAGCAUUGCCGUCAUCGAAUCUCUGGAUUUGUCGUACAACAAGUUUCACCUGAAAACGAUUCCAAAAUAGAUGACAUCGUCACCAUUCAUCUACUCGUUGAAGCUGGCAAAAUGUGGGAUCAAGAUAAGCUUAGACGAUUGGAAGCUAGCAGGAACCUAUCACUGUAUAUGAAGCAAAUGCAGAAUCUUGGAGUAUAAGUAACAAGGAAGAAGAAAGUUACCAGAAUAUACUUAUUCUGUUAACAGAGAAAACAGAGUAUUAACAGGGUUAAUGACUCAUUGUACAGCUAACUCUUAGCUAAUCUUAUCUCUUACUAUAUAAACAAUUGUACAGCAACAAUAAUCUUUAAUGAGAAAUUAGAUUGUUUUACUUCUCUAAUAUGGUAUCAGAGCAAUAAAUAUCUCAUUCAAAAGUUUGUUUUCCGGGAAACUUGAGAUUUUCCGGGAAAAUUCCUGAUUUCUUCUUGAAGAUUCCACUUCAGCUUGUUGUGUUCAUCUUUCUGAUCGCCGAUCGUUGUAUCAAUGGCGAAGAAAGGAGCCAAGCAGCUCAGGAAUCGUUCAACAUCUCAGGAUUCUGGUGAAGAUUCACCGAUUAUUCAUCCUUCCGCUUCAGCUCUCGACAGAUCUUCUCCAGCUCGUACCUCCGUGAAUCGUCUACCGGUGGAUUCAGAUUCGAUUGAUAGUCACCACAAUCCAUUCUAUCUUCACUCCAGUGAUCAUCCUGGUUUGUCAAUCGUAUCUGAAGUUCUCACUGGAGAUAACUAUAACUCAUGGAUCAUUGCUAUGCGCACUAGUCUAGAAGCUAAGAAUAAGAUCAGCUUUGUUGAUGGAUCUAUCCCUAGACCUCUUGAAUCUGAUCGUCUUUACAAAAUCUGGACUCGUUGCAACAGUAUGGUAAAAGCUUGGAUUCUUAAUGUCGUGUCAAAGCAAAUCUAUGCUAGUGUUUUAUACAUUCAGGAUGCUGCUGGUAUUUGGAAUGAUCUUUACAGGCGUUUUCACAAGAGCAACCUUCCUCAGAUCUAUAAUUUGGAGCAGGAGAUCAGUUCUCUACGUCAAGGUACUAUGUCUCUCUCUGAUUACUACACUAAGAAGGUUACUCUCUGGGAACAGUUGGCCUGCACUAAGAAUCUGAUGGAAAAUGGUGGUUGUCGAUGCUCACAAGUGAUGAAGUUGUUAGAUGAUCAUGAGACAACAAGGAUUACUCAGUUUCUUAUGGGUCUCAAUGAUGAUUUUGCUAACAUCAGGGGACAAAUACUGAACAUGAAACCACGUCCAAGUCUCUCUGAUAUGUAUAACAUGCUUGAGUCUGAUGAGUCUCAGAGACAACGUUCCAUUCCCAAUCCUAAUCCUUCAGCUUUCCAGGUUAAAACUCAACUAAAUAACUUUCAGAAAUCUCAUGUUGUAUGCACACAUUGUGGAUUGUCUGGUCACAUUAGUGACAAGUGUUACAAGAUCAUCGGUUAUCCACCGGGAUGGAAACCAAAGAAUCAACGUCAAAAUCCUAACCAACGUUUUAUCACUCCUGCUGCGAAUCUUGCUCUUGUUGAUCCUACAUCUGAAUGUGAAAACGAGAAAACUUUGUCUCAAGAACAGCUUCAGUACUUGGUUGCUUUCUUGAACUCUAAGCUGCAGCCGUCUAGUUCUUCUCACAGUGCUAGUCCUAUCUCAUCUGCAACCAUCACUGAACUACCUAGUACUUCUGAGGCUUCUUCUUCUGCAUUUUCUCCUAUGGCAUGUCAGAUGACUGGUACACAAUUUCCUUCUAUAUUUUGUUCUUCAGAAGAGAAUCAAUCUUAUUUCUACUCUCUGUCUGAUAAAUUGGUCAACAUGAAUAAGUGGGUUAUUGAUACUGGUGCUACUCACCAUGUUACUUAUGACAAGAGCCUUUUUCAACAAAUGACUGUUAUACAAGACACUACUGUGCAGCUUGCUAAUGGUGUAGGUGUGAAAAUUCAGGGUUUGGGAACUAUUAAACUCAAUGACAGACUCAUUCUUCAUGAUGUUCUGUUUAUACCUCAAUUUAAAUUUCAUUUAUUGAGUGUGAGUUCCUUGACGUCUCAGAUAAAGUGUGGUCUAUGGUUUGACUCUUAUGGUUGUGAAAUUCAGGAUCUUACAAGGGAAUUGACAAUUGGAAGAGGUAAACUUCACAAUAAGCUAUAUUUCUUGGACCUGUAGUUUCAGCCUGAAGAGAAAGCUUCACCAACUAUCUGUGUUUCAGUCAAGAUUGAUGCUCACACUUGGCAUCAACGCUUGGGUCAUCCGUCUCUACAACGUCUUAAAUCUAUGUCAAAUUCAUUGUCUGUUUCUUUUCCUAAGGAGUUAACUCCAGAACAGAACCAUUGCAGAGUUUGUCAUUUAGCAAAGCAGAAACAUUUGCCUUUUGUAGCUCGGAAUAAUAAGACUUCUAAUGCGUUUGAUUUGAUCCAUAUUGACACUUGGGGUCCCUUUGCAGUGCCUUCUUAUGAUGGAUACAAAUAUUUUCUGACGAUAGUUGAUGAUCAUUCUCGUGCUACUUGGAUAUUUUUACUCAGAAAUAAAUCAGAAGCUAUAACAGUCUUACCUGGUUUUGUUGCUAUGAUUGAAACUCAAUUUGCUACCAAAGUUAGAGCCGUCAGGUCAGAUAAUGCUCCUGAGUUUAACUUCACCAAGUUUUACAGAGAAAAAGGAAUUGUCUCCUAUCAUUCAUGUCCAGAGACUCCUCAGCAAAACUCAGUGGUAGAAAGGAAACACCAACAUCUUUUAAACGUGGCCAGAUCCCUCAUGUUUCAGUCACAGGUACCUAUUGAGUAUUGGAGUGAGUGCAUUAUGACUGCAGUUUUUCUUAUCAACAGGUUACCUACAGAGAAUUUGGAGAAUAAGUCUCCUUAUGAGAUCUUAAUGAAGGUAGCACCAGAAUAUGAUGAUCUUAAGGUUUUUGGAUGUUUGGCUUAUGCUUCCACUUCACCACAUCAGAGAAAUAAAUUUCAGCCAAGGGCAAGGGCAUGUGUAUUUUUGGGUUAUCCUACUGGUGUCAAAGGAUAUAAGCUACUUGAUAUUGAAACACAUGAUAUCUUGAUUUCAAGACAUGUGGUUUUUCAUGAGGACUUGUUUCCUUUAGCAAAUGGAGAUAUGAAUCAGCAAAUUCAGGAUUUGUUUCCUACAGUGUCUGAUAUAAUUGGUGAUUUAGCAGUAGGAGAUUCUGCUAUCCCAGUUCAGUCACAACAGGAUUCAGUGCAUCUUGGUAGUGGCAAGUCUGCAGUAGGAGAUUCUGCGUCUGUCACACAUUUACCAGUGCCAAAUCCAGAGAAUGCAGUUGUUGUUGAAGAUUCAACACCUGUUAAUGCUGAAGUCUCCGAUAAUACUCUUGAUGAUAUCAUUGAUACUUCAAGAACAUCAAAAAGGCCUACUUACUUGGAGGACUAUUAUUGUUACUAUGUCAACAAAGAAGUUGUUCAUCCUCUUUGUCAGAUUUUAACCUAUGAAAGACUUUCUGGUCCUUACCAUUUCUUCUUGACUGCUAUUACAAAGGAGUUUGAACCUACUACCUAUACUGAAGCUAAAAAGCAUCUUGUUUGGACAAAUGCUAUGGGAGAGGAAAUAACAGCUUUAGAAAAUACCAAUACUUGGUCUAUAUGUUCUCUUCCUGCAGGCAAGCAUAUUAUUGGUUGCAAGUGGGUAUACAAGGUGAAAUACAACUCUGAUGGCACUCUUGAAAGACACAAGGCCAGAUUGGUGGCAAAAGGUUAUACUCAAAAGGAAGGUCUUGAUUAUGUUGAUACUUAUUCUCCAGUGGCUAAAUUGACUUCUGUUAAGAUGCUUUUGGCUACUGCAGCAAAAUUGAAAUGGUCACUAUCCCAGUUGGAUAUAUCCAAUGCGUUUCUAAAUGGCGAUUUGAAUGAGGAGAUAUAUAUGCAGCUUCCACCUGGAUACUCUAGACAAGGAGACUCUCUACCUGAGAAUGCAGUUUGUCGAUUAAACAAAUCACUAUAUGGCUUAAAACAAGCAUCACGGCAGUGGUAUCUCAAGUUUGCAGAGACUCUGGAGAAUCUUGGCUUUCAAACUAAUCAUUCAGAUCAUACAUUGUUCACAAAGGUCAGAGACUCAAUAAUACUCAUUGUCUUGGUUUAUGUGGAUGAUAUAAUUGUUUCAAGUAAUAAUGACGAGGCUGCAGAUAAUCUCAAGUCACAAUUGAAAUCUCACUUCAAGUUGAGAGAUUUAGGUCCUGCUCAAUAUUUUCUUGGAUUGGAAAUAGCAAGAUCUGAAGCUGGAAUCUCAGUGUGUCAACGUAAAUAUGCUUUGGAACUACUGGAUUCUGCAGGAUUAUUGGCUUGUAAGCCAUCUUCAAUUCCUAUGGAACCUAAUCAGAAGAUGUCUGCAGAUGAUGGUGAAUUAUAUGCUAAUCCAGAGAGCUAUCGUAGCAUUGUUGGGAAGCUCAUUUAUUUGACUAUUACCCGUCCAGAUAUAUGUUUUGCAGUGGGAAAAUUGGCUCAAUACACUAGUGCACCCAGAGUUCCUCAUUUUAAAGCAGUUUUGAAACUUCUGGCUUACAUUAAAGGGACUAUUGGUCAAGGUCUUUUUUAUUCUUCUGAUCCUAACAUGGAAUUAAAGGCCUUUGCUGAUGCUGAUCUUAGUGGUUGUCCGGAUUCAAGAAGAUCUGUCUCAGGUUAUUGUGUGUUUCUUGGUGACUCUCUUAUUUCAUGGAAAUCUAAGAAACAAGAGAUUGUGUCACGGUCUUCUGUUGAGUCAGAAUACAGAGCAAUGGCUUUGGCGGUUUGCGAAAUUGUUUGGAUUAGAAGCUUGAUGACAGACUUAUACAUACCUCCUACUUCUCCGACUGUUCUUUACUGUGAUAAUGAAGCCGCUAUACACAUUGGUACCAAUCCUGUGUUUCAUGAACGUACAAAACACGUGGAGCGUGAUUGUCAUACAGUAAGAGACAGAGUCAAGGAAGGAACAGUUAUACUGGCUCAUGUACGGACUGAUUUGCAGGUUGCAGACAUUUUGACUAAAGCGAUAUAUCCUGGACAGUUCCGGUAUCUUGUUGGUAAGCUUGGCAUCUCGAAUCUCUUUCUGCCAGCUUAAGGGGGGCUAUCAGUGUAUAUGAAGCAAAUGCAGAAUCUUGGAGUAUAAGUAACAAGGAAGAAGAAAGUUACCAGAAUAUACUUAUUCUGUUAACAGAGAAAACAGAGUAUUAACAGGGUUAAUGACUCAUUGUACAGCUAACUCUUAGCUAAUCUUAUCUCUUACUAUAUAAACAAUUGUACAGCAACAAUAAUCUUUAAUGAGAAAUUAGAUUGUUUUACUUCUCUAAUAGAACCUACUACUACGUUUCCAUCGAUCUGUCUGAAAACGAGAUCUCAGGGAGUCCGGUUAGGUUCCUCAACCAGAUGAAGUAUCUGAUGGAGUUCCGAGCCGCAGGAAACAAACUCCGGUUCGAUUUGGGGAAGCUGACGUUUGUGGAGACGCUUGGAAUCUUGGAUUUGUCAAGGAACUUGAUAUUCGGGAAGGUGCCCGCGACGGUGGCCGGACUGAGGACAUUAAACGUGAGUCAAAACCAGCUUUGCGGAAAGCUUCCAGCUACAAAGUUCCCGGCCAGUACGUUUGCCGGUAACGACUGUCUCUGUAGAUCUCCACUUUCUCCUUGUAAAGUUUAGCGGCUAAAAAAAAAGCUAUAAUUGGUAUUUGGAUAAUUGGAUUUAAUGUGACGCUUGGAUUCAAAACGAUUUGUAUACAGAACAUAACAAAUUACACUUGGUUCC
This 12436-nucleotide long non-coding RNA is filed under the name Arabidopsis lyrata. RNAcentral's name for it is "long non-coding RNA (ALYR_LNC003138)". The record is from RNAcentral. Lineage: Eukaryota; Viridiplantae; Streptophyta; Magnoliopsida; Brassicales; Brassicaceae.